AUUGGGUAGGGGAGCGUUCUGUAAGCCGUUGAAGGUGAAUCGUAAGGUUUGCUGGAGGUAUCAGAAGUGCGAAUGCUGACAUGAGUAACGACAAAGGGGGUGAAAAACCUCCUCGCCGGAAGACCAAGGGUUCCUGUCCAACGUUAAUCGGGGCAGGGUGAGUCGACCCCUAAGGUGAGGCCGAAAGGCGUAAUCGAUGGGAAACGGGUUAAUAUUCCCGUACUUCUGACUAUUGCGAUGGGGGGACGGAGAAGGCUAGGUGGGCCAGGCGACGGUUGUCCUGGUUCAAGUGCGUAGGCUUGAGAGUUAGGUAAAUCCGGCUCUCUCUAAGGCUGAGACACGACGUCGAGCUGCUACGGCAGUGAAGUCAUUGAUGCCAUGCUUCCAGGAAAAGCCUCUAAGCUUCAGAUAGUCAGGAAUCGUACCCCAAACCGACACAGGUGGUCGGGUAGAGAAUACCAAGGCGCUUGAGAGAACUCGGGUGAAGGAACUAGGCAAAAUGGUACCGUAACUUCGGGAGAAGGUACGCUCUUGAUGGUGAAGUCCCUCGCGGAUGGAGCUGACGAGAGUCGCAGAUACCAGGUGGCUGCAACUGUUUAUUAAAAACACAGCACUGUGCAAAAUCGCAAGAUGACGUAUACGGUGUGACGCCUGCCCGGUGCCGGAAGGUUAAUUGAUGGGGUUAGCGCAAGCGAAGCUCUUGAUCGAAGCCCCGGUAAACGGCGGCCGUAACUAUAACGGUCCUAAGGUAGCGAAAUUCCUUGUCGGGUAAGUUCCGACCUGCACGAAUGGCGUAAUGAUGGCCACGCUGUCUCCACCCGAGACUCAGUGAAAUUGAAAUCGCUGUGAAGAUGCAGUGUACCCGCGGCUAGACGGAAAGACCCCGUGAACCUUUACUACAGCUUGGCACUGAACAUUGAACCUACAUGUGUAGGAUAGGUGGGAGGCUAUGAAGACGUGACGCCAGU
RNAcentral lists this ribosomal RNA (968 nucleotides) under Vibrio cholerae. Its description in RNAcentral is "partial 23S ribosomal RNA". It matches the Rfam family "Bacterial large subunit ribosomal RNA", at positions 1223 to 2175 of the family's 2925-position model. The record is from RNAcentral. Lineage: Bacteria; Pseudomonadati; Pseudomonadota; Gammaproteobacteria; Vibrionales; Vibrionaceae.